Molecule: long non-coding RNA, 1435 nt
Filed under: Cyanoderma ruficeps (rufous-capped babbler)
Lineage: Eukaryota; Metazoa; Chordata; Aves; Passeriformes; Timaliidae
Description: lncRNA (ENSCRFG00000002767.1)
Source: RNAcentral
GGGCUGUCCCGCUCGGAGCCAGCCGGGUGACGGGUGGUGGCGGUGCUGUCGCGGCAAGGGCCGUGUCCUGCCCCUCUGGGGAUCACGGCUGGGCAGGGGCGCCCUGUCGCCCAAGGGUGCUGAGCCGUGGCCCUCCAUGGGAGCCUCCUCCCGAGGGAUUUAGGCUCCGCCCGUGGCACACCGCAGCCCACGAGCAUGGCCCGUGUCUCCGAGGCGGAGGAAGGACCUGGCGGGGGACACAGCGAGUUCAGCGACAUCAUCAAGUCCAGAACAGGUAUUCAUUAAUCUGUUGAGUGCAUGGGACAGAUGCAUUAUCAAACGUGUCAAGAUUCCAGAGAGGAAUAACAUAAGAGUUAUGUAGCUUAAUCAUAGUUCCUUUUGGAGGAGGCAGCUCCUGUGCUGGGGAAGCAUUCUCUAGCAGCCCAGCAUCUUUUCAGGUGUGUGGGUCUUCUGCUGGAUAUGGAAGAAGUGGUGAAGAGCUGUUGAAACUCUCUCUGGUGGAAGAUGGUGACUGUACAUUUCAGUAAAAGACCAGCUGCUAUCUCAAAAGCACAGGACGCAUGAUGGGAGGAAAGGAUCUGGCUACAUGACAGAGAUUCCAUCUGAUACGUAUUCUUAAGGUUAUUCUGAUGAUCCGUAUAGGGAAUGUACAGCAGUACUUUUCAGCCAUACAUUGGUUAUGAAGUUCUUUUCUGGACUUCAACAUCACCUUGUUAUAAACCAUGAGGACCUGCCAUCCAAGAACUGAAAGAUUUUGUGGUGGAAUUAGACAAACAUAUGAGGACAGUCAAUGGCUUGUGCAUUUAGCUGUGGAGAAACGUGCAAUUAAGCCAUGAAAGAACAUGCUUUGAUGGAUCUAUGUAAUUCAUUCCACAAAUAACUUUAGUUAGUUCCCAUGUACUCUGCUUUUAUUUCCUAGCAUUGAAAUGUGGUUUUUUCCCGGCCCCCACCCCCUUCAAUUUAGAUCAUGGCAGAGGACCAAAGAUGGAAUAUGCUCCUAAAAUGUUAUAUAACAAUUUAUUGAUCAGAGAAAAGUGGUGUGAUGGGUAAGUUCUGAAAUGUUCUGCUAGCUAUUUUUGUUCUUGAUUUACCACACUACCCUGGACGAGCAAAGAGCAGCAGUCUGUGCAUGAAUAACAAACAGGGAUUUAUUUGAACAUUUUAUGGGAGUACACUGGGGAUAGAGCAAAGUUUUUUUGGUUUCUGUGUUGUUUUAAUGGUUGUAUUAUAAAAUGAUUGUAUUAACAGAAGAGAAUGAAUAAAAUAGUAUUUAAAGGCCAACAGACCAAAGCCUUUCUAUUGCUUCUUUCCAGGCUUUUACUUCUGUUAUGGCUUUAUAAUGAACAACAGUUAUGGUCAGCAUAAAUCAUUUCCAGAGAGAGUUCAUCACCCUUAUUUUCCUGGUUUCUACACGUACAUCUUGUUCUUGGAUAAG